RNAcentral lists this ribosomal RNA (719 nucleotides) under Conobregma sp. BJS-2011. RNAcentral's name for it is "SSU rRNA". It matches the Rfam family "Eukaryotic small subunit ribosomal RNA", at positions 482 to 1153 of the family's 1831-position model. Lineage: Eukaryota; Metazoa; Arthropoda; Insecta; Hymenoptera; Braconidae. The record is from RNAcentral.
GAUACGGGACUCAUCCGAGGCCCCGUAAUCGGAAUGAGAACACUUUAAAUCCUUUAACGAGGAACAAUUGGAGGGCAAGUCUAGUGCCAGCAGCCGCGGUAAUUCUAGCUCCAAUAGCGUAUAUUAAAGUUGUUGCGGUUAAAAAGCUCGUAGUUGAAUCUGUGUGUCACGCUGUCGGUUCAUCGUUUGCGGUGUUUAACUGGCAUGAUUGUGAGACGUCCUACCGGUGGGCUUAGCUUUAUGUUACAGUAAAGCGGUCCAACUAAUAUCCCAUCGCGGUGCUCUUCAUCGAGUGUCGAGGUGGGCCGGUACGUUUACUUUGAACAAAUUAGAGUGCUUAAAGCAGGCUAUUUUUGCCUGAAUAUUGUGUGCAUGGAAUAAUGGAAUAGGACCUCGGUUCUAUUUUGUUGGUUUUCGGAACUCCGAGGUAAUGAUUAAUAGGGACAGAUGGGGGCAUUCGUAUUGCGACGUUAGAGGUGAAAUUCUUGGAUCGUCGCAAGACGAACAUAAGCGAAAGCAUUUGCCAAAAAUGUUUUCAUUAAUCAAGAACGAAAGUUAGAGGUUCGAAGGCGAUCAGAUACCGCCCUAGUUCUAACCAUAAACGAUGCCAGCUAGCGAUCCGCCGAAGUUCCUCCGAUGACUCGGCGGGCAGCUUCCGGGAAACCAAAGCUUUUGGGUUCCGGGGGAAGUAUGGUUGCAAAGCUGAAACUUAAAGGAAU